UAGGGAAUCUUCCGCAAUGGACGCAAGUCUGACGGAGCAACGCCGCGUGAGUGAAGAAGGAUUUCGGUUCGUAAAACUCUGUUGUUCGAGAAGAACUGCGCAUAGAGUAACUGUUAUGCGUGUGACGGUAUCUCACCAGAAAGCCACGGCUAACUACGUGCCAGCAGCCGCGGUAAUACGUAGGUGGCAAGCGUUGUCCGGAUUUAUUGGGCGUAAAGCGAGCGCAGGCGGUCAAUUAAGUCUGAUGUGAAAGCCCCCGGCUCAACCGGGGAGGGUCAUUGGAAACUUGUUGACUUGAGUGCAGAAGAGGAGAGUGGAAUUCCAUGUGUAGCGGUAAAAUGCGUAGAUAUAUGGAGGAACACCAGUGGCGAAGGCGACUCUCUGGUCUGUAACUGACGCUGAGGUUCGAAAGCGUGGGUAGCAAACAGG
This 429-nucleotide ribosomal RNA is filed under the name Bacteroidota bacterium. RNAcentral's name for it is "Bacteroidetes bacterium partial 16S ribosomal RNA". It matches the Rfam family "Bacterial small subunit ribosomal RNA", at positions 355 to 776 of the family's 1533-position model. The record is from RNAcentral. Lineage: Bacteria; Pseudomonadati; Bacteroidota.